This 1211-nucleotide ribosomal RNA is filed under the name metagenome. RNAcentral describes it as "bacterial SSU rRNA". It matches the Rfam family "Bacterial small subunit ribosomal RNA", at positions 296 to 1498 of the family's 1533-position model. The record is from RNAcentral.
GAGGAUGGUCAGCCACACUGGGACUGAGAUACGGCCCAGACUCCUACGGGAGGCAGCAGUCGAGAGGCUUCGGCAAUGGGGGAAACCCUGACCGAGCGACGCCGCGUGGGCGAUGAAGGCCGUUAGGUUGUAAAGCCCUGUCGAGCGGGAAAAAGUGUAGGCGGGUGAACAAUCCGCUUACUUGAUGGUACCGUUAAAGGAAGCUCCGGCCAACUCCGUGCCAGCAGCCGCGGUAAUACGGGGGGAGCGAACGUUGUUCGGAAUUACUGGGCGUAAAGGGCGUGCAGGCGGUCCUGUAAGAGAGGUGUGAAAUGCCCUGGCUCAACCAGGGACAUGCACCUCUGACUGCAGGACUUGAGUAUAGGAGAGGAUGGGGGAAUUCCCGGUGUAGCGGUGAAAUGCAUUGAUAUCGGGAGGAACACCAGUGGCGAAGGCGCCCAUCUGGCCUAAUACUGACGCUCAGGCGCGAAAGCUAGGGGAGCAAACAGGAUUAGAUACCCUGGUAGUCCUAGCCGUAAACGGUGGGCACUAGGUGUAGGAGGCAUCGACCCCUCCUGUGCCGCAGCUAACGCAUUAAGUGCCCCGCCUGGGGAGUACGACCGCAAGGUUGAAACUCAAAGGAAUUGACGGGGGCCCGCACAAGCGGUGGAGCAUGUGGUUUAAUUCGAUGCAACGCGAAGAACCUUACCCAGACUUGACAUGUACUGGACCGGUGUGGAAACACACCUUCCCUUCGGGGCCGGUGCACAGGUGCUGCAUGGCUGUCGUCAGCUCGUGUCGUGAGAUGUUGGGUUAAGUCCCGCAACGAGCGCAACCCUUGUCCUUAGUUGCCAUCAAGUUAUGUUGGGCACUCUAGGGAGACUGCCGUCGAUAAGGCGGAGGAAGGUGGGGAUGACGUCAAGUCCUCAUGGUCCUUACGUCUGGGGCUACACACGUGCUACAAUGGUCGGUACAGAGGGUUGCAAUGCCGCGAGGUGGAGCCAAUCCCAGAAAACCGGCCUCAGUUCGGAUUGCAGUCUGCAACUCGGCUGCAUGAAGUUGGAAUCGCUAGUAAUCGCUGAUCAGCAGGCAGCGGUGAAUAUGUUCCCGGGCCUUGUACACACCGCCCGUCAAGCCACGAAAGUUGGCAGUACCCGACGUCGCUGUCCUAACCAUAAGGAGGGAGGCGCCUAAGGUAAGGCCACUGAUUGGGGCUAAGUCGUAACAAGGUA